Triticum aestivum (bread wheat) is the source of this 135-nucleotide non-coding RNA. NCBI's taxonomy places the organism in Eukaryota, Viridiplantae, Streptophyta, Magnoliopsida, Poales, Poaceae. The record is from Rfam.
UUGGUACUCCCUCCGUCCGAAAAUACCUGUCAUCAAAAUGGAUAAAAGGAGAUGUAUCUAGAACUAAUAUACGUCUAGAUACAUCCCCUUUUAUUCAUUUUGAUGACAAGUAUUUCCGGACGGAGGGAGUUCAAC